CAAACAUAGCAACAUCUUCUGGAAUGUCCUCAUCACUACUUUGAACAUAUUGAUUGUGAAGUCUUGCAUAUUCCAGUAGCUCACUGAGACGGUCCUUCAUGAUUACUGAAGCCGCUGCUUUAACUCUGUCUCUGCCCGGAUUAUAAGUACGAAAGAACACGAGAUGCUGGACACGGGUCAUGUCCCAGGAGACACCAUGUCCGACUGCUCUUC
This is a long non-coding RNA of Bufo bufo (common toad), 213 nucleotides long. RefSeq lists it as uncharacterized. NCBI's taxonomy places the organism in Eukaryota, Metazoa, Chordata, Amphibia, Anura, Bufonidae. The transcript has 3 exons. The record is from RefSeq and is a predicted model, not a curated record.